GAUGAACGCUAGCGAUAGGCUUAACACAUGCAAGUCGAGCGGCAGCAUGGUCUUAGCUUGCUAAGACUGAUGGCGACCGGCGCACGGGUGCGUAACGCGUAUGCAACUUGCCUCACAGAGGGGGAUAACACGCCGAAAGUCGGACCAAUACCGCGUACACUUGGCAUAGGGCAUCCUGAAACAAGGAAACGAAAUUCGCUGUGCGAUAGGCAUGCGUGCCAUUAGCUAGUUGGUGAGGUAACUGCUCACCAAGGCGACGAUGGGUAGGGGAACUGAGGGGGGGAGGCCUCAGACGGGGACUGGGACACGGAGCAGAGACAUACGGGAGGCAGUAGUGAGGGAUAUUGGACAAUGGGAGAGAGCCUGAUGCAGCCAAGUCGCGUGAAGGAUGACUGUGUUAGGGAUUGUGAACUUCUUUUUGUCGGGAAUAUCAAGAGGUACGUGAGGCUGCCUGCAGGUACCGUAUAAAGAAGCAUCGGCUAACUCCGUG
RNAcentral lists this ribosomal RNA (490 nucleotides) under uncultured bacterium. RNAcentral describes it as "partial 16S ribosomal RNA". It matches the Rfam family "Bacterial small subunit ribosomal RNA", at positions 28 to 507 of the family's 1533-position model. The record is from RNAcentral.